Non-coding RNA from Oryctolagus cuniculus (rabbit), 1039 nucleotides. Lineage: Eukaryota; Metazoa; Chordata; Mammalia; Lagomorpha; Leporidae. The record is from RefSeq and is a predicted model, not a curated record.
UGCUUCAAAGCCACUCCGGGCUGGGGCUGAGCGAGCCUCCCAGGUUGAGGAGCCAUUUCAGAACAGUCAAGCUUCACCUGCCAAAUGCCUGGGCUGUCUGGGAGCCAAGAAGGACGGAUGGAGUGACCAGAUGAGGAAUCUGGACAGACAGCCAUCCCCUCCACCUGAGCUGAUCCCCGAGUUGACGGAGUUGACGGGGUGAUUCAAAGUUUUCAACCUAGGGUUGCACUCCUGUGCCAGCGUCUGAAGUCUUUUCCCAGCCCAGUCCUCCCAAGGCGAUCGCACACACUAAUGGAAACCAUGUUUCAGCACGAAGCUGCCUGCUGGAAAGCUGUCAUGGCUCCCCAGGGCCCCGGGCAGUGAUUUCUCCACCUGUGUCCUAGGACAAGAGUUUGAAGGGACUUUUCUGGGGGACCUUGGCUCAUCCCACCCGAGAUCACCUGGGCCUUGUUCUCAAUGCGCUCCCCAGCGAGCAGAAGCUGCAGCAGCACCUGGGAACUUUCUAGAAACAAACUCAGGCCUACUGGAGGAUUUCUGAACCCUGCGCUCCUGGGCGGGGCCCUGCCGCCGAGGUUAGCAAGACCUCCGGGUGAUUCCAGUGCACACUGACAUCUAAGAACCACUUUAGAGCAUUCGCCACAGCGUCUGGAACUGUGUGCACCUGUUUUCAGCUUCAGACCCAAAUCUUCCUGAGGACAAGGAUUGUGUCAUAUUUUAUCUUUUCAUGGCUGGUCCCUGGCAUAGUAUUUGACACUUAGACCCUCUGUCUAGGCUAAUGGUCAAAUAAAGGCAUUUUGAUGACGAUGUCCCAAGUUCCUCUUCACUGACUUGUUGUUGAGUAUCUCCUCUUGGGAUCAAAUAUAGUUCUCAGACUACUCAAUCAAACACAGAAGGAAAUGAAACAGCAAACGUCAUCAACUCUCAGCUGGGCAGUGGGAGGGUAUGGGAAAUGGAAAGUUCCAGAAAACCUCCAAUCAUAGUUUUUAAAAGUUACUAAAAUGUGGCAUGAAAAUAAUCUUAAUACAGGGUAUGUUAAUUU